Molecule: ribosomal RNA, 499 nt
Filed under: uncultured bacterium
Lineage: Bacteria
Description: partial 16S ribosomal RNA
Rfam family: Bacterial small subunit ribosomal RNA
Source: RNAcentral
GAUGAACGCUAGCGGCAGGCCUAAUACAUGCAAGUCGAGGGGCAACAGGUGUAGCAAUACAUGCUGGCGACCGGCGCACGGGUGCGUAACACGUAUGUAAUCUACCCUUUACUGGAAGAUAGCCCGGAGAAAUUCGGAUUAAUACUCCAUAACACUAUAACAUGGCAUCAUGAAGUAGUUAAAGAUUUAUCGGUAAAGGAAGAGCAUGCGGCUGAUUAGCUAGUUGGUGAGGUAACGGCGCACCAAGGCAACGAUCAGUAGGGGACCUGAGAGGGUGAUCCCCCACACUGGUACUGAGAUACGGACCAGACUCCUACGGGAGGCAGCAGUAGGGAAUAUUGGGCAAUGGAGGCAACUCUGACCCAGCCAUGCCGCGUGCAGGAAGACGGCCUUCUGGGUUGUAAACUGCUUUUGAUCGGGAACAAAGAGCCCUUGCGAGGGAAGUUGAGUGUACCGAUAGAAUAAGCACCGGCUAACUCCGUGCCAGCAGCCGCCGUAA